ACGAAUAAAUGACGGUACCAUAUGAAUAAGUACCUGCUAACUACGUGCCAGAAGCAUCGGUGAUGCGUAGGGUACAAACGUUAUCCGGAUUAAUUGGGCGUAUAGAGAUGCGUAGGCGUCUUGGUAAGUCUUGUGUUAAAGACCACAGCCUAACUGUGGAAGGGCACCGGAAAUUACCAGGAUAGAGAUGGGGAGGGGUGAAUGGAAUUCUCGGUGGAGUGGUGAAAUACGUUGAUAUCGAGAGGAACACCAGUGGCGAAGGCGAUUCACUGGCCCUUAUCUGACGCUAAGGCUCGAAAGCGUGGGGAGCAAAACGGAUUAGAUACCCGUGUAGUCCACGCUGUAAACAAUGGAUGCUAGGUGUUUGGCACGAUUAUCAUUUGUCUUCGGACUUUUGAUGAAAGUGUUGAGUGUCGUAGCUAACGCGUUAAGCAUCCCGCCUGGGGACUACGGCCGCAAGGCUA
This 464-nucleotide ribosomal RNA is filed under the name uncultured bacterium. RNAcentral's name for it is "bacterial SSU rRNA". It matches the Rfam family "Bacterial small subunit ribosomal RNA", at positions 461 to 896 of the family's 1533-position model. The record is from RNAcentral.